This 531-nucleotide ribosomal RNA is filed under the name Bifidobacterium bifidum. RNAcentral describes it as "bacterial SSU rRNA". It matches the Rfam family "Bacterial small subunit ribosomal RNA", at positions 158 to 701 of the family's 1533-position model. The record is from RNAcentral. Lineage: Bacteria; Bacillati; Actinomycetota; Actinomycetes; Bifidobacteriales; Bifidobacteriaceae.
GGGUGGUAAUGCCGGAUGUUCCACAUGAUCGCAUGUGAUUGUGGGAAAGAUUCUAUCGGCGUGGGAUGGGGUCGCGUCCUAUCAGCUUGUUGGUGAGGUAACGGCUCACCAAGGCUUCGACGGGUAGCCGGCCUGAGAGGGCGACCGGCCACAUUGGGACUGAGAUACGGCCCAGACUCCUACGGGAGGCAGCAGUGGGGAAUAUUGCACAAUGGGCGCAAGCCUGAUGCAGCGACGCCGCGUGAGGGAUGGAGGCCUUCGGGUUGUAAACCUCUUUUGUUUGGGAGCAAGCCUUCGGGUGAGUGUACCUUUCGAAUAAGCGCCGGCUAACUACGUGCCAGCAGCCGCGGUAAUACGUAGGGCGCAAGCGUUAUCCGGAUUUAUUGGGCGUAAAGGGCUCGUAGGCGGCUCGUCGCGUCCGGUGUGAAAGUCCAUCGCUUAACGGUGGAUCUGCGCCGGGUACGGGCGGGCUGGAGUGCGGUAGGGGAGACUGGAAUUCCCGGUGUAACGGUGGAAUGUGUAGAUAUCGGA